RNAcentral lists this ribosomal RNA (254 nucleotides) under uncultured bacterium. RNAcentral describes it as "partial 16S ribosomal RNA". It matches the Rfam family "Bacterial small subunit ribosomal RNA", at positions 524 to 776 of the family's 1533-position model. The record is from RNAcentral.
UACGUAGGGCGCGAGCGUUGUCCGGAUUUAUUGGGCGUAAAGAGCUCGUAGGCGGUGUGUCGCGUCGGCCGUGAAAACCUGCAGCUUAACUGUGGGCUUGCGGUCGAUACGGGCAUCACUGGAGUUCGGCAGGGGAGACUGGAAUUCCUGGCGUAGCGGUGAAAUGCGCAGAUAUCAGGAGGAACACCGGUGGCGAAGGCGGGUCUCUGGGCCGAUACUGACGCUGAGGAGCGAAAGCGUGGGGAGCGAACAGG